AACGGCCCACCAAGUCGACGAUCGGUAGCCGGACUGAGAGGUUGAACGGCCACAUUGGGACUGAGACACGGCCCAGACUCUUACGGGAGGCAGCAGUGGGGGAUAUUGCACAAUGGGCGAAAGCCUGAUGCAGCAACGCCGCGUGAGGGAAGACGGUUUUCGGAUUGUAAACCUCUGUUCUAAGUGACGAACAAAUGACGGUAGCUUAGGAGAAAGCCCCGGCUAACUACGUGCCAGCAGCCGCGGUAAUACGUAGGGGGCAAGCGUUGUCCGGAAUUACUGGGUGUAAAGGGAGCGCAGGCGGAGAAGCAAGUCAGUGGUGAAAACGAUGGGCUUAACUCAUCGACUGCCAUUGAAACUGUUUCCCUUGAGUGAAGUAGAGGCAGGCGGAAUUCCGAGUGUAGCGGUGAAAUGCGUAGAUAUUCGGAGGAACACCAGUGGCGAAGGCGGCUUGCUGGGCUUUAACUGACGCUGAGGCUCGAAAGUGUGGGGAGCAAACAGGAUUAGAUACCCUGGUAGUCCACACUGUAAACGACGAUAAAGAGGUGUGGGGGGUCUGACCCUUUCCGUCGCGGAGUUAACGCAAUAAGCAAUCCCCCUGGGGAGUACGGCCGCAAGGUUGAAACUCAAAGGAAUUGACGGGGGCCCGCACAAGCAGUGGAUUAUGUGGUUUAAUUGAGACGCAACGCGAAGAACCUUAUCAGGUCUUGACAUCCAACGAAUCCUUAAGAGAUUAGGGAGUGCCUUUCGGGGAACGCCGAGACAGGUGGUGCAUUGUUGUCGUCAGCUCGUGUCGUGAGAUGUUGGGUUAAGUCCCGCAACGAGCGCUACCCCUGCCAUUAGUUGGUAUGCAAGAGCACUCUAAUGGGACCGCUCCCGACAAGGUUGAGGAAGGUGGGGAGGACGUCAAAUCAUCAUGCCCCCUAUGACUUGGGGUACACACGUAAUACAAUGGCCGUUAACAACGGGAGGCAAAACCGGGAGGUGGAGCAAAACCCUAAAAACGGUCCCAGUUUGGAUCGCAGGCUGCAACCCUCGUGCGUGAAGUUGGAAUUGCUAGUAAUCUCGGAUCAGCAUGCCGCGGUGAAUACGUUCCCGGCCCUCGCACA
RNAcentral lists this ribosomal RNA (1109 nucleotides) under uncultured bacterium. RNAcentral describes it as "bacterial SSU rRNA". It matches the Rfam family "Bacterial small subunit ribosomal RNA", at positions 259 to 1387 of the family's 1533-position model. The record is from RNAcentral.